UGCUGGAGGUAUCAGAAGUGCGAAUGCUGACAUAAGUAACGAUAAAGCGGGUGAAAAGCCCGCUCGCCGGAAGACCAAGGGUUCCUGUCCAACGUUAAUCGGGGCAGGGUGAGUCGACCCCUAAGGCGAGGCCGAAAGGCGUAGUCGAUGGGAAACGGGUUAAUAUUCCCGUACUUGGUGUUACUGCGAAGGGGGGACGGAGAAGGCUAUGUUGGCCGGGCGACGGUUGUCCCGGUUUAAGCGUGUAGGUGUGUGUUCCAGGUAAAUCCGGUUCACUUUAACACUGAGGCGUGACGACGAGGCACUACGGUGCUGAAGCAACAAAUGCCCUGCUUCCAGGAAAAGCCUCUAAGCAUCAGGUAACAUCAAAUCGUACCCCAAACCGACACAGGUGGUCAGGUAGAGAAUACCAAGGCGCUUGAGAGAACUCGGGUGAAGGAACUAGGCAAAAUGGUGCCGUAACUUCGGGAGAAGGCACGCUGACAUGUAGGUGAAGUGAUUUACUCAUGGAGCUGAAGUCAGUCGAAGAUACCAGCUGGCUGCAACUGUUUAUUAAAAACACAGCACUGUGCAAACACGAAAGUGGACGUAUACGGUGUGACGCCUGCCCGGUGCCGGAAGGUUAAUUGAUGGGGUCAGCGCAAGCGAAGCUCCUGAUCGAAGCCCCGGUAAACGGCGGCCGUAACUAUAACGGUCCUAAGGUAGCGAAAUUCCUUGUCGGGUAAGUUCCGACCUGCACGAAUGGCGUAAUGAUGGCCAGGCUGUCUCCACCCGAGACUCAGUGAAAUUGAACUCGCUGUGAAGAUGCAGUGUACCCGCGGCAAGACGGAAAGACCCCGUGAACCUUUACUAUAGCUUGACACUGAACAUUGAGCCUUGAUGUGUAGGAUAGGUGGGAGGCUUUGAAGUGUGGACGCCAGUCUGCAUGGAGCCGACCUUGAAAUACCACCCUUUAAUGUUUGAUGUUCUAACGUGGACCCGUUACCCGGGUUGCGGACAGUGUCUGGUGGGUAGUUUGACUGGGGCGGUCUCCUCCUAAAGAGUAACGGAGGAGCACGAAGGUUGGCUAAUCCUGGUCGGACAUCAGGAGGUUAGUGCAAUGGCAUAAGCCAGCUUGACUGCGAGCGUGACGGCGCGAGCAGGUGCGAAAGCAGGUCAUAGUGAUCCGGUGGUUCUGAAUGGAAGGGCCAUCGCUCAACGGAUAAAAGGUACUCCGGGGAUAACAGGCUGAUACCGCCCAAGAGUUCAUAUCGACGGCGGUGUUUGGCACCUCGAUGUCGGCUCAUCACAUCCUGGGGCUGAAGUAGGUCCCAAGGGUAUGGCUGUUCGCCAUUUAAAGUGGUACGCGAGCUGGGUUUAGAACGUCGUGAGACAGUUCGGUCCCUAUCUGCCGUGGGCGCUGGAGAACUGAGGGGGGCUGCUCCUAGUACGAGAGGACCGGAGUGGACGCAUCACUGGUGUUCGGGUUGUCAUGCCAAUGGCACUGCCCGGUAGCUAAAUGCGGAAGAGAUAAGUGCUGAAAGCAUCUAAGCACGAAACUUGCCCCGAGAUGAGUUCUCCCUGAGACUUAGAGUCUCCUGAAGGAACGUUGAAGACGACGACGUUGAUAGGCCGGGUGUGUAAGCGCAGCGAUGCGUUGAGCUAACCGGUACUAAUGAACCGUGAGGCUUAACCUUACAACGCCGAAG
This 1688-nucleotide ribosomal RNA is filed under the name Salmonella enterica subsp. enterica serovar Saintpaul. RNAcentral's name for it is "partial 23S ribosomal RNA". It matches the Rfam family "Bacterial large subunit ribosomal RNA", at positions 1271 to 2925 of the family's 2925-position model. Lineage: Bacteria; Pseudomonadati; Pseudomonadota; Gammaproteobacteria; Enterobacterales; Enterobacteriaceae. The record is from RNAcentral.